This 914-nucleotide ribosomal RNA is filed under the name uncultured archaeon. RNAcentral's name for it is "bacterial SSU rRNA". It matches the Rfam family "Archaeal small subunit ribosomal RNA", at positions 1 to 922 of the family's 1478-position model. The record is from RNAcentral.
UUCCGGUUGAUCCCGCCGGACCUGACUGCUAUCGGAUUGAUACUAAGCCAUGCGAGUCAUUGUAGCAAUACAAGGCAGACGGCUCAGUAACGCGUAGUCAACCUAACCUAUGAACGGGAAUAACCUCGGGAAACUGAGAAUAAUGCCCGAUAGAACACUAUGCCUGGAAUGGUUUGUGUUCCAAAUGAUUUAUCGCCGUAGGAUGGGACUGCGGCCUAUCAGUUUGUUGGUGAGGUAAUGGCCCACCAAGACUAUUACAGGUACGGGCUCUGAGAGGAGUAGCCCGGAGAUGGGUACUGAGACACGGACCCAGGCCCUAUGGGGCGCAGCAGGCGAGAAAACUUUGCAAUGUGCGAAAGCACGACAAGGUUAAUCCGAGUGGUUUCUGCUAAAGGAACCUUUUGUCGGUCCUAGAAACACCGAUGAAUAAGGGGUGGGCAAGUUCUGGUGUCAGCCGCCGCGGUAAAACCAGCACCUCAAGUGGUCAGGAUGAUUAUUGGGCCUAAAGCAUCCGUAGCCUGCUUUGUUAGUUUUCGGUUAAAUCUAUGCGCUCAACGUAUAGGCUGCCGGGAAUACUGCAAAGCUAGGGAGUGGGAGAGGUAGACGGUACUCGGUAGGAAGGGGUAAAAUCCUUUGAUCUAUUGAUGACCACCUGUGGCGAAGGCGGUCUACCAGAACACGUCCGACGGUGAGGGAUGAAAGCUGGGGGAGCAAACCGGAUUAGAUACCCGGGUAGUCCCAGCCGUAAACCAUGCAAACUCAGUGAUGCAUUGGCUUGUGGCCAAUGCAGUGCUGCAGGGAAGCCGUUAAGUUUGCCGCCUGGGAGGUACGUACGCAAGUAUGAAACUUAAAGGAAUUGGCGGGGGAGCACCACAAGGGGUGAAGCCUGCGGUUCAAUUGGAGUCAACGCCGGG